GCCACGGCUAACUACGUGCCAGCAGCCGCGGUAAUACGUAGGGUGCGAGCGUUAAUCGGAAUUACUGGGCGUAAAGCGUGCGCAGGCGGUUUUUAAGACAGGCGUGAAAUCCCCGGGCUUAACCUGGGAACUGCGCUUGUGACUGGAAGGCUAGAGUACGGCAGAGGGGGGUGGAAUUCCACGUGUAGCAGUGAAAUGCGUAGAGAUGUGGAGGAACACCAAUGGCGAAGGCAGCCCCCUGGGCCGAUACUGACGCUCAUGCACGAAAGCGUGGGUAGCAAACAGGAUUAGAUACCCUGGUAGUCCACGCCCUAAACGAUGUCAACUAGGUGUUGGGUGGGUAAAACCAUUUAGUACCGUAGCUAACGCGUGAAGUUGACCGCCUGGGGAGUACGGCCGCA
RNAcentral lists this ribosomal RNA (401 nucleotides) under uncultured bacterium. RNAcentral describes it as "bacterial SSU rRNA". It matches the Rfam family "Bacterial small subunit ribosomal RNA", at positions 490 to 890 of the family's 1533-position model. The record is from RNAcentral.